CAGUUUCCAAGUCAAGAUAAUGUUAUGCAUAUACAAAUACAAGUAGUAGUGAGCUGGCUUAAUAAUAAGGUCAAGAUAGAGAGAAACUCAGGUCAUUUGGAGAAGGAAAGAUGGGGGUACAUGCCUCUAAGUAAAGGAAGUUUCAUUAUACAAAUAGAGAUGCAGACAAAUUUGUUAUGGAAUGGAUGAUCUAUUAUUGGUGAUCAUCAAUACAAACUGUACUGUGACAUGGAACACCGACAGAUACACAAUGAAAAGGGGUGCUAAUCCCUUGUCUUAUAAGUUAAAAUCUAGUAGGAAUUCCUAUUCUGUUGGCAACAGGGCACAAGAGGUUAAGGUUUUGAGUUCUGCCAAAUCAUCACCAGCCUUCUUUUCACGCGUUAACAGAUUGGCUGGAUUAUGAGUCCAGGAAGUUAAGGAGAGAUAAUAUGCAAUAUGCACACUCGCAUUCAAAGGUAUGAUGGGAUCACUGACCUUAUUAGAUGCCAAAACUAAGUAACAAUAAGGAUUUUUAUAAGAAGUAGAAACACAUAUCGUUGAUGCAUCAUGCAUGCACGAUUGUUGAUCUACCUACUAAAAUCAGUCUUGUUAAUGUGCUUUUAAGUUACAGGUAGCUUUAAUUGUGUAGCGCAGUGAGUUACUGAAUACAAGAUUACUGACUGUAGUAGCAAGUGUUGCUGCUGAAUUUGUGAAAAUCGGAACCAGUAUAUACACCUUAAAUUACCAAGAUACAAUAAUGGAAGUGGAGAGAAAAUACAUGUAGUCAGUGUGUGCACAGUGCACAUUUGACAUUACAGCAUAAGAAGGUUAUCAGGUUUAAUAUCUUAAGACAUCUACCUUUGCAUCCAAAUAACAUUGUUUCAAUAUAUUACUGUCCUUGCUUUGUAAACGACACGGGGUUUAGGGUUCCAUAUAGCAAUACAACGAACAUGUAAUAAUAAUUCCCGACAGUAUAGGAUGAUGACAUUGCUUAAAUCAUGUUGGACGUAAUCUGUAAUAUAUUGUUAUGUUUUCUCAGAAAAAGUGUUAAACUUAAUUUCGAAAUUCAAACAAGACCUACUUAGAUUUCGGACCAUGUUUACUAGUUUACCAAGAGAUAGAAAAAGAAGAGAUCAAGAUAAUAUCUACACAAUAUUUGAUAUCCCUAAGCUUCCUAAAGACCUUCAAGGAUGCCCAAUUAGAAUAAUAACACCCUCAGCCUAUGUCCUGGAGUGCAGCCAAUACAUCAACAGGGAUUAUAACAAUAUCCCCAGGGUCCUUCGGUUUGGUGUAAAUUACUUGGUACUUUCCAAAAUCUUUGUAAUUUUCUAAUAGGCGUCAUGACUUUUCCCCCCAGAAAGAGCAUCAUUAUAAUACAUUUAAGAUAUUCAUGACAAUCUCUAAAGUUACUACCAGUCGUCAAUGCUUUAAAAUCCUAUAAUUGCCUUGCAAAAUGAUAUUCAUGAGCUCCUACUAGUCUAGUUUGACAAAUAUUUAGAACUAAUACAGAUCUUACAAAGUUCAACAACAACGAAAUAACACAAGUACAGAGAAACAUAUGGUGAAUUGUUCAAUAAAGAAAAGGAAGGAGACCUAAUUCCUCGGUAUCCUUUAGAUUAGACCAAUCCCAGAUCAUAUAAUGUCUUCUGUAACAGUAGCAUUCCUUUAUAUUAUCAUUGAUUAUAUGGUUUAUAAGGCAAUGAGAUAUCAUGGGACUGAUAUAUUUAAAUGGUUAAAUAUCCAUCACCUUCUCGGUGAGUGUUAUGCAGAUAUCCAUUCUUCUAAACGUGCAAAGGACAGAGACAACUAAUAUACUCCAGAAUUUAGGACAUUGUUGAGAGA
This 1821-nucleotide long non-coding RNA is filed under the name Daucus carota (carrot). RNAcentral's name for it is "long non-coding RNA (DCAR_LNC003009)". The record is from RNAcentral. Lineage: Eukaryota; Viridiplantae; Streptophyta; Magnoliopsida; Apiales; Apiaceae.